RNAcentral lists this ribosomal RNA (565 nucleotides) under Papiliotrema flavescens. RNAcentral's name for it is "partial large subunit ribosomal RNA". It matches the Rfam family "Eukaryotic large subunit ribosomal RNA", at positions 101 to 657 of the family's 3401-position model. The record is from RNAcentral. Lineage: Eukaryota; Fungi; Basidiomycota; Tremellomycetes; Tremellales; Rhynchogastremaceae.
GGAAGAGCUCAAAUUUGAAAUCUGGCGUGCUCAGUGCGUCCGAGUUGUAAUCUAUAGAGUCGUUUUCCGUGCCGGACUGUGUCCAAGUCCCUUGGAACAGGGUAUCAAAGAGGGUGAUAAUCCCGUACUUGACACAAUGACCGGUGCUCUGUGAUACGUCUUCUACGAGUCGAGUUGUUUGGGAAUGCAGCUCAAAAUGGGUGGUGAGUUCCAUCUAAAGCUAAAUAUUGGCGAGAGACCGAUAGCGAACAAGUACCGUGAGGGAAAGAUGAAAAGCACUUUGGAAAGAGAGUUAAACAGUACGUGAAAUUGUUAAAAGGGAAACGAUUGAAGUCAGUCGUGACUGAGAGGCUCAGCCGGUUCUGCCGGUGUAUUCCCCUCAGUCGGGUCAACAUCAGUUUUGUUCGGUGGAUAAGGGCAGUUGGAAGGUGGCACCCUCGGGUGUGUUAUAGCCAGCUGUCGCAUACAUCGGAUGAGACUGAGGAAUGCAGCUCGCCUUUAUGGCCGGGGUUCGCCCACGUUCGAGCUUAGGAUGUUGACAUAAUGGCUUUAAACGACCCGCUGA